Molecule: ribosomal RNA, 468 nt
Filed under: uncultured bacterium
Lineage: Bacteria
Description: partial 16S ribosomal RNA
Rfam family: Bacterial small subunit ribosomal RNA
Source: RNAcentral
GACGAACGCUGGCGGCGUGCUUAACACAUGCAAGUCGAACGGAAAGGCCCUGCUUUUGUGGGGUGCUCGAGUGGCGAAAGGGUGAGUAACACGUGAGUAACCUGCCCUUGACUUUGGGAUAACUUCAGGAAACUGGGGCAAAUACCGGAUAGGAGCUCCUGCUGCAUGGUGGGGGUUGGUAAGUUUCGGCGGUUGGGGAUGGACUCGCGGCGUAUCAGCUUGUUGGUGGGGUAGUGGCUUACCAAGGCUUUGACGGGUAGCCGGCCUGAGAGGGUGACCGGCCACAUUGGGACGGAGAUACGGCCCAGACUCCUACGGGAGGCAGCAGUGGGGAAUAGUGCACAAUGGGCGGAAGCCUGAUGCAGCGACGCCGCGUGCGGGAUGACGGCCUUCUGGUUGUAACCCGCUUUCGCCUGGGACGAAGCGUGAGUGACGGUAAUGGGUAAAGAAGCACCGGCUAACUACGUG